This 429-nucleotide ribosomal RNA is filed under the name Bacteroidota bacterium. RNAcentral describes it as "Bacteroidetes bacterium partial 16S ribosomal RNA". It matches the Rfam family "Bacterial small subunit ribosomal RNA", at positions 355 to 776 of the family's 1533-position model. Lineage: Bacteria; Pseudomonadati; Bacteroidota. The record is from RNAcentral.
UAGGGAAUCUUCCGCAAUGGACGCAAGUCUGACGGAGCAACGCCGCGUGAGUGAAGAAGGACUUCGGUUCGUAAAACUCUGUUGUUAGAGAAGAACAGCGCAUAGAGUAACUGUUAUGCGUGUGACGGUAUCUAACCAGAAAGCCACGGCUAACUACGUGCCAGCAGCCGCGGUAAUACGUAGGUGGCAAGCGUUGUCCGGAUUUAUUGGGCGUAAAGCGAGCGCAGGCGGUCAAUUAAGUCUGAUGUGAAAGCCCCCGGCUCAACCGGGGAGGGUCAUUGGAAACUGGUUGACUUGAGUGCAGAAGGAGAGAGUGGAAUUCCAUGUGUAGCGGUGAAAUGCGUAGAUAUAUGGAGGAACACCGGUGGCGAAAGCGGCUCUCUGGUCUGUAACUGACGCUGAGGCUCGAAAGCGUGGGGAGCGAACAGG